AUGGCCUGUCUGAGAAAACCAGGCAGGUGUGGGAGAAUGAGGGUCGGCAAAUUUUGCUUAUAUUUUGAGAUACCCUCCAGCAAAAUGUGGCAUUUUUUGAAAAUUGGAAAAAACACAAAUCCUGAUUGGCUUGAAGUCAAUAGACUGGUGAAAAUAAGUGGUGCAGAUUUGAUACCAGUAUUUGAUGCCAAAACAGUGCAUGUUAAAAUCAAGAGUGCCGGUGUUAUGUAUUGACCUAGGCUACUACGGCUAAUGACAGGAGUGAAGUCUGAUGCUGUACCUUGUGCUACAGUUGAGCGUGAUACUAUGAUGCGUACUUGUCAUUCAGCGGCUGCCAAAGUAAAACCAUCUGUGAAGCCAUCAUCAGGUAUCGUAAUGAAAAUCCUGUAGUUUCAA
RNAcentral lists this unclassified non-coding RNA (396 nucleotides) under Anneissia japonica. Its description in RNAcentral is "uncharacterized LOC117123018, transcript variant X3". Lineage: Eukaryota; Metazoa; Echinodermata; Crinoidea; Comatulida; Comatulidae. The record is from RNAcentral.